UGGAGUAUGUGGUUUAAUUCGAUGCAACGCGAAGAACUUACCUGGUCUUGACAUCCCGGAGACCCUUAGGAAACUAGGGGUGCUUCCAUCUGGAAGAAUCUGGAGACAGGUGCUGCAUGGCUGUCGUCAGCUCGUGUCGUGAGAUGUUGGGUUAAGUCCCGCAACGAGCGCAACCCUUGCCUUUAGUUGCCAGCAGUUCGGCUGGGCACUCUAAAGGGACUGCCGGUGUUAAACCGGAGGAAGGUGGGGAUGACGUCAAGUCCUCAUGGCCUUUAUGACCAGGGCUACACACGUACUACAAUGGCCGAUACAAAGGGCAGCGACACUGCGAGGUGAAGCCAAUCCCGUAAAAUCGGUCUCAGUCCGGAUUGGAGUCUGCAACUCGACUCCAUGAAGUUGGAAUCGCUAGUAAUCGUGGAUCAGCAUGCCACGGUGAAUACGUUCCCGGGCCUU
Molecule: ribosomal RNA, 453 nt
Filed under: uncultured Desulfobulbus sp.
Lineage: Bacteria; Pseudomonadati; Thermodesulfobacteriota; Desulfobulbia; Desulfobulbales; Desulfobulbaceae
Description: bacterial SSU rRNA
Rfam family: Bacterial small subunit ribosomal RNA
Source: RNAcentral